Molecule: ribosomal RNA, 459 nt
Filed under: uncultured bacterium
Lineage: Bacteria
Description: partial 16S ribosomal RNA
Rfam family: Bacterial small subunit ribosomal RNA
Source: RNAcentral
CCUACGGGUGGCAGCAGUGAGGAAUAUUGGUCAAUGGCCGGAAGGCUGAACCAGCCAAGCCGCGUGAAGGACGAAGGUGCCAAGCAUUGUAAACUUCUUUUGUCAAGGGACAAAAUCAGGCUCGAGAGCCUGACCGAGGGUACUUGAAGAAAAAGCAUCGGCUAACUCCGUGCCAGCAGCCGCGAUAAUACGGAGGAUGCGAGCGUUAUCCGGAUUUAUUGGGUUUAAAGGGUGCGUAGGCGGGCUGUUAAGUCAGCGGGAAAAGCCCGGGGCUCAACCCCGGCGAGCCGUUGAAACUGGGUGUCUUGAGAUGUCGAGAGGUAGGCGGAAUGCGCAGUGUAGCGGUGAAAUGCUUAGAUAUUGCGCAGAACUCCGAGUGCGAAGGCAGCAUACCGGCGGCGAUCUGACGCUGAGGCACGAAAGCGUGGGUAUCGAACAGGAUUAGAUACCCUAGUAGUC